CAGUCUGCAUGGAGCCGGCCUUGAAAUACCACCCUUUAAUGUUUGAUGUUCUAACGUGGACCCGUGAUCCGGGUUGCGGACAGUGUCUGGUGGGUAGUUUGACUGGGGCGGUCUCCUCCUAAAGAGUAACGGAGGAGCACGAAGGUUGGCUAAUCCUGGUCGGACAUCAGGAGGUUAGUGCAAUGGCAUAAGCCAGCUUGACUGCGAGCGUGACGGCGCGAGCAGGUGCGAAAGCAGGUCAUAGUGAUCCGGUGGUUCUGAAUGGAAGGGCCAUCGCUCAACGGAUAAAAGGUACUCCGGGGAUAACAGGCUGAUACCGCCCAAGAGUUCAUAUCGACGGCGGUGUUUGGCACCUCGAUGUCGGCUCAUCACAUCCUGGGGCUGAAGUAGGUCCCAAGGGUAUGGCUGUUCGCCAUUUAAAGUGGUACGCGAGCUGGGUUUAGAACGUCGUGAGACAGUUCGGUCCCUAUCUGCCGUGGGCGCUGGAGAACUGAGGGGGGCUGCUCCUAGUACGAGAGGACCGGAGUGGACGCAUCACUGGUGUUCGGGUUGUCAUGCCAAUGGCACUGCCCGGUAGCUAAAUGCGGAAGAGAUAAGUGCUGAAAGCAUCUAAGCACGAAACUUGCCCCGAGAUGAGUUCUCCCUGAGAC
Molecule: ribosomal RNA, 650 nt
Filed under: Salmonella enterica
Lineage: Bacteria; Pseudomonadati; Pseudomonadota; Gammaproteobacteria; Enterobacterales; Enterobacteriaceae
Description: partial 23S ribosomal RNA
Rfam family: Bacterial large subunit ribosomal RNA
Source: RNAcentral